GACGAACGCUGGUGGCGUGCUUAACACAUGCAAGUCGAACGGGAUUUAGUAAACAGAAGCCUCGGUGGAAGAUUACUAAUGAGAGUGGCGAACGGGUGAGUAACGCGUGAGCAACCUGCCUAUGACAGUGGGAUAGCCUCGGGAAACCGGGAUUAAUACCGCAUAAAAUCGUAGAAACACAUGUUUUAACGGUCAAAGAUUUAUCGGUCAUAGAUGGGCUCGCGUCUGAUUAGCUAGUUGGUGAGAUAACAGCCCACCAAGGCGACGAUCAGUAGCCGGUCUGAGAGGAUGAACGGCUACAUUGGAACUGAGACACGGUCCAAACUCCUACGGGAGGCAGCAGUGGGGAAUAUUGCACAAUGGGGGAAACCCUGAUGCAGCGACGCCGCGUGAACGAAGAAGGUAUUCGUAUCGUAAAGUUCUGUCCUAUGGGAAGAUAAUGACAGUACCAUAGAAGAAAGCUCCGGCUAAAUACGUG
Molecule: ribosomal RNA, 478 nt
Filed under: uncultured bacterium
Lineage: Bacteria
Description: partial 16S ribosomal RNA
Rfam family: Bacterial small subunit ribosomal RNA
Source: RNAcentral